Molecule: non-coding RNA, 2782 nt
Organism: Doryrhamphus excisus (bluestripe pipefish)
Lineage: Eukaryota; Metazoa; Chordata; Actinopteri; Syngnathiformes; Syngnathidae
Source: RefSeq, a predicted model, not a curated record
CACACACACACACACACACACACACCAUUUAUUGAGGUUUUCUUAUGAGGGUGGAACCGACCAUAUUUGUGCAGGAAAUAACGGGAUCAUGCAUCUUAAAAUGCCUGACAUGGACCACAGUGACCAAUAGGGUUGAAAUAUUUGCUGUGAAGAGACAAUGUUGUCAGUGAUGUCAUCUACACCCCCCCGUCCCCCACCGUAUGUGAUGCCCUCCCGCUCCUCUGUUGCUAUGGGGACUGCUGCAGUCCAAUGGUUUACACGACGUUCCUAAAACCACACUACCGCUGACUAAAUAUCGCCAAUAAUACCACAUUUUCUGUUUUCUACCGUCGUGUUUAGCAUUUAUUACCUAGCUAAACCUCGCUUAAUUCAACACGGACUGAAUUAUUUCGACGUUUUUUUUCCUCACUUCGCGUUUUUACUAAAUUGUCCCUCCGCCAUUGCCGUACUUGUCUAGCUUGCCGUAGCUAAUUUGUUUGUUUGUCGCGGCGAUAAACUUUUAACAACACAACGUUAUUAUUAAUAAUAACAUAGAGAAGACGUUAAUUACCGUGCCUAAAGCGCCCACCAGGUUCAUGGGCUGCAGUCUUAGAAGGGAAGCCCAGACUUCCCAGUCUUUGGCCACGUCUUCCACAGAGACGUUCCCAGGCCAGCUGGGAGACAUCUGCCCCAGGGUCUCCUCUCGGCCCACCUCACCAUGGAGGCAACCUCGGCUGGCUUCUCCUCAAGGAUGACCAAGCUCCUCGCCGUAUCUCUAGGGUAGCGUUUGUUUGUUUGCUACAAGGCGGUGGUGGAUGCUGAAAGGACCUCAGGCCUCGACCUUCACAGCAGAAGAAGCGCUCACAGUGAAUCAAGGUACCUUUUCUUAUCAAAGCCUUCCCAAUACAACGAUGCAUAGUCACGAGGGCCACAGUGAAGAGAGAAUAAGGCAGAAGAGGAGCGCCUCUAGAGGAAAGAACUUGUGAUUCUGACUUUGUCCCAAAGCUAAAUGAACUUAAAGCAAAGUAGAUUUGGUUUGCGGAGUGUCCUCAAAGAGUGUAAACAUUAUUCAAUGGCUCUUUUUCCCCCUCCUCUCCUCAAGUCAGGAAAGAACACGUAAAUAGUCUAAACGGUCACCAAACAAGACAUUGGUCAAUGUAUUAAAAACAGAAAAGACUGUAUCCACUGUGGCAUCAGACCAUAACCCAUGAAAGUCUUCACUGACCACAAUUAUUAGGCACAUGCACACAAUCUGAGACUUUUGGUUGUCAAUGUCUUCAUGUCAUAAUAUGACACCUCCGCUGAACCUGCAGGGCUCUUUACAAGAAGCUCGUUAUCGAGUGUCUCUAAUUGCAUGCUGGAAAAUUAAUUGCAUUAUUGAUGUGCUGUUUGCAAAAUAUGCGCACAAUUUCUGCUACACAUUUCAUAUUGACCGAGUACAGGAACUUUGGAAAUGUAAUAACAAUUGGUUACCUUUUCGUGUCCUCCACCAUCACAUGUGUUAAUUUAAGUUUUGCCUCUAACAAAAUCUUCGGCUUUAGUUAUGGGUUUAUGACUCCACAUGAAUAAAACAUUAAUUACUUGGUGUUUAAUCAGCACAAUUGGUAUCACUGAAAUGAAUGUUUUAAGGGUGCAAGGUCUCAUUUGCCGCUAUUUUUCACUCAAUGAAUGUUGUACAGGUUUUAUUGUAGACGUAGUUAACCUCGAAACCGCGAUGCAGCAAAUGAAGAUAACUCAAACUUCUAAGUAUAAUGCAGUGCAAUACAAGAAUAAAUUAUUUUGAAUUCUAUCGACUGAAUACCAUUGUAUCGCAUCUUGUUACAUGUGCAGGUACUUAAUGUUGUGGUUAGUGAAAUAAAUAUGCAUUUCCAAGGAACCAAGAAACCAAAAAGAAGUACUCUGAAGAAGAUGUACCACAUCUGAAAAUCAGCCAUGCCACACGUCUCGUCGCUUUACAUUAAAAACACAUCAACCUUUCAAGCUUUGGAUUGUUAUUCCAGUUGUUAAUCUGCAGUAUGGCUGCCUUGAAAUAUUACUGCACUGCCUGAUCAUGUACACUUGUUUUAAAUAUGAAGUUUAGCGGACUGUUUUGUAUGCGAUAUGGGUCUCUUCUGUACUGUACCUGCCAGGUUAACGCUACUCAGUAUCUGCAUUAGGUCCAUGGGGAUCUAAAGGACAGAGCCCCAACAUGACAAAACGAUGACCGAAUUUGGUCAUUGCAUUGCAAUAAUGUUGUAUCAAAGUGGAAAUGGUAUUGCAUGCAAGUGGGGCAUGUUAACAGUGGACUGCAGGAGGACACAUAGGAGGAGGCAUCAGGAUAAAAAGAAAAGAUAUCUCAAUAUAAUGUUACAUCUAUAUUGGCACAUUAUCUAUAAACAGUGUACUGGAUGAUGAUCAAGUUCAAUUAGCUACUAAUAUGAGGUCAUGUACCAGUUUGUCUUAUUUUUCACAGUAUAAAAGUGCACUAACCGCCAAAACAUGUCGCCAUUUUCCAAUCGUAAAGCCAAUUCCCUGCCCGCCUGGCCAGAGAUGUUCCUCACACCUGCGUCUCCACACCAUCAAGUUUAGGCAUCAGAAUGCGAGGAGUCACCCCGGAGUUGAGGUCUCUCUCAAACUCCAAAAGCUGGCCCAUGAAGUUUAAAUUUGGGGACACCACAGGGCGACGGCUACGCACGUAUUUGUAGGCGUCUGUCAUUGUCAUGAGGGUGUGCUUCAUUAAGUAGGCGAUGACGAUGGUUGCAGACCGGGACACGCCUGCCUGGCAAUGCACCAGCACUCCCUGUCCACUCUGAUAUGCCUCCUC